GAUGAACGCUGGCGGCGUGCCUCAAACAUGCAAGUCGAGCGAGGCUAUGAAUUACCGCAAGGUAAGGCAUAGCCUAGCGGCGAACGGGUGAGUAACACGUGGGUAACCUACCUGGAAGACAGGGGUAACGAUUCGAAAGGGUCGCUAAUACCUGAUAAUAUCCAUCUGCCGGAUGGCGGAGGGAAGAAAGGGGAAACCCGCUUUCAGAUGGGCCCGCGUCCCAUCAGCUAGUUGGUAAGGUAAAGGCUUACCAAGGCGACGACGGGUAGCCGGUCUGAGAGGAUGUACGGCCACACUGGGACUGAGAUACGGCCCAGACUCCUACGGGAGGCAGCAGUUGGGAAUCUUAGGCAAUGGACGAAAGUCUGACCUAGCGACGCCGCGUGAGGGAAGAAGGCCUUCGGGUUGUAAACCUCUGUCAUGGGGGAAGAAGGGAAGUGACGGUACCCCAAGAGGAAGCCCCUGCUAACUACGUG
RNAcentral lists this ribosomal RNA (476 nucleotides) under uncultured bacterium. Its description in RNAcentral is "bacterial SSU rRNA". It matches the Rfam family "Bacterial small subunit ribosomal RNA", at positions 28 to 507 of the family's 1533-position model. The record is from RNAcentral.